CGUAUAUUAAAGUUGUUGCAGUUAAAAAGCUCGUAGUUGGAUUUGUGGAUGUGCCGGCCGGUUUGCUCUUUUGAGCGUAACUUGGCCAGCUCGUCCAUCCUUGGGUGGAAUCUGUGUGGCAUUAGGUUGUCGUGCAGGGGAUGCCCAUCUUUUACUGUGAAAAAAUUAGAGUGUUCAAAGCAGGCUUAUGCCGUUGAAUAUAUUAGCAUGGAAUAAUGAGAUAGGACUUGGGUGCUAUUUUGUUGGUUUGCGCACCUUGGUAAUGAUUAAUAGGGACAGUUGGGGG
RNAcentral lists this ribosomal RNA (286 nucleotides) under uncultured diatom. Its description in RNAcentral is "partial 18S ribosomal RNA". It matches the Rfam family "Eukaryotic small subunit ribosomal RNA", at positions 598 to 888 of the family's 1831-position model. Lineage: Eukaryota; Bacillariophyta. The record is from RNAcentral.